RNAcentral lists this non-coding RNA (18 nucleotides) under Arabidopsis thaliana (thale cress). The record is from RNAcentral. Lineage: Eukaryota; Viridiplantae; Streptophyta; Magnoliopsida; Brassicales; Brassicaceae.
GCUACGCGAACGUUACGG